UGAGGAAAGCAGGGGAUCGUAAGACCUUGCGCUUUUGGAGCGGCCGAUGUCUGAUUAGCUAGUUGGUGGGGUAAUGGCCUACCAAAGCUUCGAUCAGUAGCUGGUCUGAGAGGACGGCCAGCCACACUGGGACUGAGACACGGCCCAGACUCCUACGGGAGGCAGCAGUGGGGAAUUUUGGACAAUGGGCGCAAGCCUGAUCCAGCCAUGCCGCGUGAGUGAAGAAGGCCUUCGGGUUGUAAAGCUCUUUCAGCCGGGAAGAAAAGGCUGCGACUAAUAAUCGCAGUUCAUGACGGUACCGGAAGAAGAAGCACCGGCUAACUACGUGCCAGCAGCCGCGGUAAUACGUAGGGUGCGAGCGUUAAUCGGAAUUACUGGGCGUAAAGGGUGCGCAGGCGGUUUUGUAAGUCAGAUGUGAAAUCCC
Molecule: ribosomal RNA, 424 nt
Filed under: uncultured ammonia-oxidizing beta proteobacterium
Lineage: Bacteria; Pseudomonadati; Pseudomonadota; Betaproteobacteria
Description: bacterial SSU rRNA
Rfam family: Bacterial small subunit ribosomal RNA
Source: RNAcentral